GUGGGGAAUUUUGGACAAUGGGCGCAAGCCUGAUCCAGCAAUGCCGCGUGCAGGAAGAAGGCCUUCGGGUUGUAAACUGCUUUUGUACGGAACGAAACGGCUCUGGUUAAUACCCGGGGCUAAUGACGGUACCGUAAGAAUAAGCACCGGCUAACUACGUGCCAGCAGCCGCGGUAAUACGUAGGGUGCAAGCGUUAAUCGGAAUUACUGGGCGUAAAGCGUGCGCAGGCGGUUGUGUAAGACAGGCGUGAAAUCCCCGGGCUCAACCUGGGAAUUGCGCUUGUGACUGCAAGGCUGGAGUGCGGCAGAGGGGGAUGGAAUUCCGCGUGUAGCAGUGAAAUGCGUAGAUAUGCGGAGGAACACCGAUGGCGAAGGCAAUCCCCUGGGCCUGCACUGACGCUCAUGCACGAAAGCGUGGGGAGCAAACAGGAUUAGAAACCCGAGUAGUCC
RNAcentral lists this ribosomal RNA (450 nucleotides) under uncultured bacterium. Its description in RNAcentral is "partial 16S ribosomal RNA". It matches the Rfam family "Bacterial small subunit ribosomal RNA", at positions 354 to 796 of the family's 1533-position model. The record is from RNAcentral.